UUGUUUCCGCAGCAGAUAUAUUAAAAUUGGAGUGAUACAGAGAAGAUGAGCAUGGCCCCUGCGCAAGAAUGACACACAAAUUCGUGAAGCAUUCCAUAUUUAU
Molecule: small nuclear RNA, 103 nt
Filed under: Opisthocomus hoazin
Lineage: Eukaryota; Metazoa; Chordata; Aves; Opisthocomiformes; Opisthocomidae
Source: RNAcentral